RNAcentral lists this ribosomal RNA (576 nucleotides) under Staphylococcus pseudintermedius. RNAcentral's name for it is "partial 23S ribosomal RNA". It matches the Rfam family "Bacterial large subunit ribosomal RNA", at positions 2255 to 2832 of the family's 2925-position model. The record is from RNAcentral. Lineage: Bacteria; Bacillati; Bacillota; Bacilli; Caryophanales; Staphylococcaceae.
UGUCAGGCGGGCAGUUUGACUGGGGCGGUCGCCUCCUAAAGAGUAACGGAGGCGCUCAAAGGUUCCCUCAGAAUGGUUGGAAAUCAUUCAUAGAGUGUAAAGGCAUAAGGGAGCUUGACUGCGAGACCUACAAGUCGAGCAGGGUCGAAAGACGGACUUAGUGAUCCGGUGGUUCCGCAUGGAAGGGCCAUCGCUCAACGGAUAAAAGCUACCCCGGGGAUAACAGGCUUAUCUCCCCCAAGAGUUCACAUCGACGGGGAGGUUUGGCACCUCGAUGUCGGCUCAUCGCAUCCUGGGGCUGUAGUCGGUCCCAAGGGUUGGGCUGUUCGCCCAUUAAAGCGGUACGCGAGCUGGGUUCAGAACGUCGUGAGACAGUUCGGUCCCUAUCCGUCGUGGGCGUAGGAAAUUUGAGAGGAGCUGUCCUUAGUACGAGAGGACCGGGAUGGACAUACCUCUGGUGUACCAGUUGUCGUGCCAACGGCAUAGCUGGGUAGCUAUGUAUGGACGGGAUAAGUGCUGAAAGCAUCUAAGCAUGAAGCCCCCCUCGAGAUGAGAUUUCCCAACUUCGGUUAUAAG